Molecule: ribosomal RNA, 405 nt
Filed under: bacterium enrichment culture clone ALO1_GLFRUDD03F1ZJB
Lineage: Bacteria
Description: bacterial SSU rRNA
Rfam family: Bacterial small subunit ribosomal RNA
Source: RNAcentral
GAGUUGAUCGUGGCUCAGAUUGAACGCUGGCGGCAUGCCUUACACAUGCAAGUCGAACGGCAGCACGGGAGCUUGCUCCUGGUGGCGAGUGGCGAACGGGUGAGUAAUGCAUCGGAACGUAUCCUGGAGUGGGGGAUAACGUAGCGAAAGUUACGCUAAUACCGCAUAUUCUGUGAGCAGGAAAGCGGGGGACCUUCGGGCCUCGCGCUCUUGGAGCGGCCGAUGUCGGAUUAGCUAGUUGGUGAGGUAAAGGCUCACCAAGGCGACGAUCCGUAGCAGGUCUGAGAGGAUGAUCUGCCACACUGGAACUGAGACACGGUCCAGACUCCUACGGGAGGCAGCAGUGGGAAUUUUGGACAAUGGGGGCAACCCUGAUCCAGCCAUGCCGCGUGAGUGAAGAAGGCC